Mauremys mutica (yellowpond turtle) is the source of this 512-nucleotide long non-coding RNA. RefSeq lists it as uncharacterized. NCBI's taxonomy places the organism in Eukaryota, Metazoa, Chordata, Testudines, Geoemydidae. The transcript has 3 exons. The record is from RefSeq and is a predicted model, not a curated record.
UGAAGAUAAAAUCUCUUGGCUCCUGCCUGUAUAUCCAGUCUCUGUUACAGAGACUACAUAAAACUGCUAUAUUAAGCAGGAAUCAUAUGCAGUGUUGUUGUAGCUGUGUUGGACCCAGGAUACUAGAGAGGCAAGGGAUUGUACACAUUCUAGCGAUGGGUUUGAACCACAACAUUUGGAUCCUGUUUGUUACCAAAUUUUGGAACCUACAAGGCUGUGUCCAGAUCCUGCUACCCUCAAUCCUGUUUUCCUCUUCUGAUCGUCCCCGACCGCUCUGGCAAGAAUGGGCUGAAUGGGUCCCAAAGCGUAUCUCGCACACAUGCUUGAAUCUACUUGGACUGAGGAAACAACCAUUGUUAUUAAAUGCUCAGCAAAUAUUAUGUGACUUGUGCUCCUCCUGAGUUUGCAGUGGAAGGAACAGGCCAUCGUUCAUGUGAACUCCUGGACCCUGCGGAGUCAUCCACUCUAACCACAGCAUGUGAAGUGGUAUGUCCCACCGGAUCCCAGUUUGU